Non-coding RNA from Cordylochernes scorpioides, 67 nucleotides. Lineage: Eukaryota; Metazoa; Arthropoda; Arachnida; Pseudoscorpiones; Chernetidae. The record is from the annotation of a GenBank genome assembly.
GGGUAGCCGAGUGGACAAGGCACCUGCCCGGUAAGCAGAAGGGUGUGGGUUCGAUUCCCCACCCCCC